Gossypium arboreum is the source of this 358-nucleotide long non-coding RNA. RefSeq lists it as uncharacterized. The record is from RefSeq and is a predicted model, not a curated record. The transcript has 2 exons. NCBI's taxonomy places the organism in Eukaryota, Viridiplantae, Streptophyta, Magnoliopsida, Malvales, Malvaceae.
AAGAAUUAAAUGGAUGAAAUAUGAAAUUUUAUUAAAAGAAAAAGGGGUGAAAAGAACAAAGUUUUGUCCAUCUUUGUUCAUCAUAGCCUAAAGUUAGAGAAGAGAAAGGAGAGGAGAAAGCUCUUGAAUGUUCGGUCACUUGGGGAAGAAAAUUGAAGGUAAUCCCCAACCAUAGUGGGCUUGGAGUUGUGAGGGAAUUCGGAGUGGCCACCCGUUCUGAAAGUUUGAUUUUUUUCUGGUGAACUGGACAUCCUUUUAAUUACGUUUGAGGUUUUGGGCUUUUAAAUGUAAUAAGGCCGCUUAUUUAUUUUUAAUGGUUUUUAUAUGUUUUAUUAAGAUAGGUAAUAUUUAUAUUUAA